AUGCGGCGGAAAUUCGUGGCGAGACGGAUCUGGGUUUCCGGACUCGUCUCGGCGAAGCGGUUGAGCUC
This 68-nucleotide small RNA is filed under the name Sinorhizobium meliloti 2011. RNAcentral's name for it is "putative ncRNA". Lineage: Bacteria; Pseudomonadati; Pseudomonadota; Alphaproteobacteria; Hyphomicrobiales; Rhizobiaceae. The record is from RNAcentral.